AUGAUCCAGCUGCUGUUCACGCUGUUGGCCGCCGAGGCAGCGCUGGUGCUCGUGCUGCUCUUCCGCACGCCCGCUCGACGCCUCGCGCUGCUUGCCGUGGACUGCAGCAAGCGCGGCCGCGGGCCCGUAAUGGCCAGGACCGUCGCGGCCACCAUGUUCGUCGUGCUCGGCUCCAGCGGGUACAGCAUCGCCAAGAUCCGGCGCCGCGAAGGCGAGUUCGCCCAGCUCACACCCACAGACCAGGUGCUCGCCAGCCGCCACCUCCUCGAGGCCUCGCUCAUGGGAUACUCUCUGUUCCUUGGGCUAAUUAUUGAUCGACUGCAUCACUAUAUCAGGCAAUUACGGGCGAUGAAGAAAAACAUGGAGGCUGUGACAAAGCAGAGCAGGGUCUUGGAAGAAACAAAACUCGGAGACUCUGAGGAAAUUCAAGGAUAUCAGAAAAAGAUUGACAGUUUGAAUGAGCAGGUGCAAGUACUCAAACACCAGUCAGAAUCUCAAACACAGGAGCUAAAAACUGCUGAAAUGAAUAAUUUGGCUUUACAGAAACAAUCUGAAGGUUUGCUUACUGAGUAUGAGCGUCUAAUUGCGGAGAAUGAGGAAUUGAGGAAUAAGCUGCAAACAAUGGAACUCCGCUUCUCCCGUUCUGACAGCAAGAAAAAUACAUAG
This 666-nucleotide ribosomal RNA is filed under the name Triticum aestivum (bread wheat). RNAcentral's name for it is "partial small subunit ribosomal RNA". The record is from RNAcentral. Lineage: Eukaryota; Viridiplantae; Streptophyta; Magnoliopsida; Poales; Poaceae.